GGGGAUGUUUUGGUUUUGACAGCAAAUUGAAUCGGAAAGUAAGCACGUCGAGCGUGGUGAGGCCGGCUCGUUAAUCCCGGAACACAAGCCAUAACUGGCAACAACAACUAUGCACUCGCUGCGUAAUUAAGUUAUGCUUAAUCGCUUUAUCGCCGCCGGCUAGGUCCGGCCGCGACGAGUAUCCCGCCGGGCUUUAAGCCAACUCAGUACCGGCAUAUGGGGUAUCAUCCAAGUUGUGCUGCGGACAUCUACUUCUCUAAAGUGUUCAAAGUAAAAACAGAGAAUAAGUUUUGAGUGGCCUGCCUGUUGGCAGCUCAUUACCGACAAUCAAUAACAGAAUAAGCGUGUAGAAAGCUUUUGGAUGAUUUGUUUGGACGGCGGUUCGAGUCCGCCCAUCUCCACAG
This 404-nucleotide transfer-messenger RNA is filed under the name Bacteroidales. RNAcentral describes it as "Bact-08 sp003513895 Standard tmRNA". It matches the Rfam family "transfer-messenger RNA". Rfam says of the family: Bacterial tmRNA, also known as 10Sa RNA or SsrA, is named for its dual tRNA and mRNA-like properties. Its role is to liberate the mRNA from a stalled ribosome. To accomplish this part of the tmRNA is used as a reading frame that ends in a translation stop signal. RNAcentral also lists the same sequence under 1 other name. Lineage: Bacteria; Pseudomonadati; Bacteroidota; Bacteroidia. The record is from RNAcentral.